This 383-nucleotide ribosomal RNA is filed under the name uncultured fungus. RNAcentral describes it as "SSU rRNA". It matches the Rfam family "Eukaryotic small subunit ribosomal RNA", at positions 826 to 1208 of the family's 1831-position model. The record is from RNAcentral. Lineage: Eukaryota; Fungi.
CGUUAUGGUUCUAUUUUGUUGGUUUCUAGGACCAUCGUAAUGAUUAAUAGGGACGGUCGGGGGCAUCAGUAUUCAGUUGUCAGAGGUGAAAUUCUUGGAUUUACUGAGGACUAACUACUGCGAAAGCAUUUGCCAAGGACGUUUUCAUUAAUCAAGAACGAAAGUUAGGGGAUCGAAGAUGAUCAGAUACCGUCGUAGUCUUAACAGUAAACUAUGCCGACUAGGGAUCGGUCGAUGUUAUCUUUUUGACUCGAUCGGCACCUUACGAGAAAUCAAAGUUUUUGGGUUCUGGGGGGAGUAUGGUCGCAAGGCUGAAACUUAAAGAAAUUGACGGAAGGGCACCACCAGGAGUGGAGCCUGCGGCUUAAUUUGACUCAACACGG